UAGGGAAUCUUCGGCAAUGGACGGAAGUCUGACCGAGCAACGCCGCGUGAGUGAAGAAGGUUUUCGGAUCGUAAAGCUCUGUUGUAAGAGAAGAACGAGUGUGAGAGUGGAAAGUUCACACUGUGACGGUAUCUUACCAGAAAGGGACGGCUAACUACGUGCCAGCAGCCGCGGUAAUACGUAGGUCCCGAGCGCUGUCCGGAUUUAUUGGGCGUAAAGCGAGCGCAGGCGGUUAGAUAAGUCUGAAGUUAAAGGCUGUGGCUUAACCAUAGUACGCUUUGGAAACUGUUUAACUUGAGUGCAAGAGGGGAGAGUGGAAUUCCAUGUAUAGCGGUGAAAUGCGUAGAUAUAUGGAGGAACACCGGUGGCGAAAGCGGCUCUCUGGUCUGUAACUGACGCUGAGGCUCGAAAGCGUGGGGAGCGAACAGGAUUAGAUACCCUGGUAGUCCACGCCGUAAACGAUGAGUGCUAGGUGUUAGGUCCUUUCCGGGACUUAGUGCCGCAGCUAACGCAUUAAGCACUCCGCCUGGGGAGUACGACCGCAAGGUUG
Molecule: ribosomal RNA, 550 nt
Filed under: uncultured bacterium
Lineage: Bacteria
Description: bacterial SSU rRNA
Rfam family: Bacterial small subunit ribosomal RNA
Source: RNAcentral